GAGGAGGAAGAGGAGGGAGAGGAGGAGGAAGAGGAGGGGUAGGAGGAGGAAGAGGAGGAAGGAGGAGGAAGAGGAGGAGGAAGAGGAGGAAGAAGAGGAGAAAGGAGGAGAAGAAGGAAGAGGAUCAGGAAGAGGAGGAGGAGGAAGAGGAGGAGGAAGAGAAGGAAGAGGAGGAGGAGGAAGAGGAGAAGAAGGAAGAGGAGGAGGAAGAGAAGGAAGAGGAGGAGGAAGAGAAGGAAGAGGAGGAGGAAGAGAAGAAGGAAAAGGAGGAAGAGGAGGAGGAGGAAGAGGAGCAGAAGAAGGAAGAGGAGGAGGAAGAGGAAGAAGAGGAGAAGGAGAAAGAAGAGGAGGAGGAAGAGGAAGAGGAGGAGGAAGCUGGACUUGACACUGAGACACACAUACCCUAACUCCUCCAGUGGCUGGAACCCUGAGAAGUAACCUGGGAGCCAUAGCUAGCCACAUUCCCUACCAUGCGGCAGGGGGAAGAGCAGUCUGUGCAGAGGGAACACAGAGGGAGGCAGGGUAGAGCAGCGAGGAGGGAAGGAGGGACCUCUGCACCGUGCUUAUCUAUAGUUCUAGCACCUUGGUCUAACUUGGCUGCCCGUGGGCACCACAAGACACCUCGAUAUCUGUAGAACACAUUUUCUUCCUUGCUGGAGCCAGCCCGCCUGGGCUUCUGUUAUGUGCAGCAGAAUCCUAACCCGCCCAGAAGGCUCAAUGGCUGUGUGCUGAAUCAAUGCUUUGCAGUCCUCCCCCGAUCCCUGAAGAUGGCAGGAGUGGGAUGUGGCACAGUCAAGUGACUAUGAGUGCAGGUCAGGGCAGCAGCCUCUCCAGACCUUCCCAGUGAGGCUGCCCAGGUCCUGGGGCAGAACGUGUUUGAGGGGCUUCUCAUUAAUCUGUCAGGAAAGAUGACGUGCUGACCUGCAGGCUGACCUGGGAGGGGUACCAGCACCCGACACUGCUCUGGCUCUCAGCCAUCAGGCAGUGAUACCAUCUGCCAUCUUCACUCCCCAGGCACCUCUGUAACUGCUCCAGGACCCCGACAAGCACAGCCCUCCACUGCCCUCCAUUCAAGGCUAUCCCUCCCUCAUCCAUAAAUUCAUUCAUACAUUCAUCAAAUGUUGACUGUCCCCCUCAUUACACUGGACACCAUUCCAGAUGCAGAGACUGUGUGCCGGCUUUUCUGUUUCCUCUUGCCCCACAGUCCACUCUGCCCUUCUCUGCUCAGAAGGCUGGGCUCUAGAGACUGCAUCACUGGGCUCUCUUCCCCCUGGCUUCCACUUGGGUUCAGCUAAUGGGAGCAAUGGCAGCAAGACCAGAGGGCAGGAGGAGAGACGGAUGGGGGAGUUUAUUCUGAUUCCCCCACUUCGGCAUGUGCAGCCGCCGGCCUCCAAGACAGCCUUGCUGCUCUCGGCUCCUGGCAUCUGUGCCCCUGUGUAAUGUCCUUCCACAUUGUAGCAGGGCUGGUCUAAGUGAGCAACAGAAUCAUUAGAACCAAUAGAAUGGUGGAAAUGAUGGUUUGUGACUUCUGAGACUGGGUCUUAAAAGGUAUUGUGGGGGUUGGGCUCACACCUGCAAUCCUAGUGCUUUGGGAGGCCAAGGGAGGGGGAUUGCUUGAGGCCAGGAGUUUGAGACCAGCCUUGGCAACAUAGUGAGUGCCCCGUCUCUACAAGAAAAAAAAAAACAAAAAAUUAGCUAGGCAUGGUGGUGCCUGCCUGCAGUCCCAGCUACUUGGGAAGGUGAGGUGGGAGGAUCACUUGAGCCUAGUAGUUCCAGGCUGCAGAAAGUUAUGAUCACACCUCUGCACUCCAGCCUGGGCAUCAGAGUGGGACCCUGUCUCAAAACAAACAAACAAACAAAUACAAACAACAACAACAACAAAAAAGCAAGGCCAGGCAUAGUGGCUCACACCUGUAAUCCCAGCACUUUGGAAGGCCAAGGUGGGUGGAUCACCUGAGGUCAGGAGUUUGAGACCAGGCUGGCCAACAUGGUGAAACCCCGUCUCUACUAAAAAUACAAAACAUUAGCCAGUUGUGGUGGCAGGUGCCUGUAAUCCCAAGCUACUUGGGAGGCUGAGGCAGGAGAACCGCUUAAACCCGGGAGGCAGAGGUUGCAGCGAGUCGAGAUUGCGCCAUUGCACUCCAGCCUAGGUGAUACAGCGAGACUCUGUCAAAAGAAAGAAAGAAAGAAAAGAAAGGAAAGAAAGAAAGGCAUUAUGGCUUCUAUAUUAUCACCUGUUGUGGGAUAAGCCAGCUGCCAUGAUGUGAGGACACUCAAGCAGUCCCAUGGAGAGGCUACAGGGCGAGUGUGCCGCCUUGGAAGUAGACCUGCCAACUUCUUUUUUUUUUUGAGACGGAGUUUCGCUCUUGUUGCCCAGGCUGGAGUGCAAUGGCGCGAUCUCAGCUCACGGCAACCUCCGCCUGCCGGGUUCCAGUGAUUCUCCUGCCUCAGCCUCCCGAGUAGCUGGGAUUAUAGGCAUGCGCCACCACGCCCGGCUAAUUUUGUAUUUUUAGUAGAGAUGGGGUUUCUCCAUGUUGGUCAGGCUGGUCUCGAACUUCCAACCUCAGAUGAUCCACCUGCCUCGGCCUCCCAAAGUGCUCGGUGGCCUCCCAAAGGUGUGAGCCACCGAGACUGGCAGACCUGCCAACUUCUGUUAAGCCUUCUGACACCUGCAGCCCUGACCAAUGUCUUGAGAGACCCAAAGCUAAACUACCUACUUAAGCGGCCCCUGCAAACCUGACCUACAGAGACUAUAACAAUAAAUGUCUGUUGUUUUAAGCCACUAAGUUUUGGGGUAGUUUGCUAUAUGGCAAUGGAUAAUGCAGCGUGGCUCUGGACCAGGUGUUCUCACCCUGCCUCUGGCAAUACAGCUUGUCCUCCUGUGAAACAACUUCCUACUACUGCUGUCUUUGGAUGUCUCAAUGUCCCCUGUUGACUUCCUUUAUCCUGUCCUCAACCCUUUACUAAACUCUCUUCAAACUUCACAAUGGAAUAUGUUGCCUGCUUCCUGCCUGGUGCAGGUUGGAAUUAUGAACAAGACAGACACCCUUCCCUUCAGAGUUUAUAUUCUAGUGGGGAAAACAGACAAUAAAUUAGCCAACAAAUAAAUAAGCAAGGUAAUUUCAGAGACCAGUAAGUAAAACAGAGAAACGAAUGGAAAAAUAAAUGGGGCUCGAGACAGGCUGAUCAGGAGCCUACACUAGGCAGGCUUGUCAACGAAGGCCUCUCAGAGGCCGUAGGCUCAGUCUGAACUCAGGAGAAGGCAACUCAGACAGAAGAGGCUGGAGCAGUCAAAGGGAGCAGCGACGUCCCUAAGAUAGGAGAGGGUGUGGAGGUGUCAGGAACAGAGGAGGGAGGCCCACGUGCUAGAGCAGAGCUCGCAGGGUGGCAAGUGGGAGAGGGGAGCUCAAGAGACUCAGGCAAAGCCAGAUGAGGAGUUUGGGUUUUGUUUAAACUACAGCACAGCCCCUCACUAAAGGAUGUUCAGUGAGGUCCGUGUAGUAUCCAAUUUACCUUUGGAACGAGCUCUCCGGUCUUGACACCUCUGCCUAUAAUCUCUAGACCCAUAACGUGGGCUGACAUGAACUUCUCAGAUGCAAAUUGCUCUGACCAGGAUGUCCUGGUCAGCCCUCUGGGGUGGAUGGAGGGGCUGCUCCUACCACCAGCCUGGGGACCUCCCACCCCUGCCUCAUCCAGAGAGCCUCGCUUGCCACAUGGGCACGAAAGGGGCCUUCCAGGUCUCUGGGCUUUAGCAGGGCUCACCCACUCUGGCUGGCUCUGAUUUUGUUUUGAGGAAAACAAAGUCCAGGUGUUGAAGUGGUCUGAGGAAGGUUACACCAUGCAAUGGACUGAAUGUUGGUAUCUCCCCAGAAUUCACGUGUUGAAACCUAAUCCCCAGGGUGAUGGUAUUUAGAGGUGGGGCCUUUGGGAGGUGAUUAGGCCAGGGGGGUGGAGCUCUCACAAUGGGAUUCCUGCUCCUUUGCCCAUUUCCUGCCAUGUGAGGACACAGGAAGGUGACUGUCUGUAACCCAGAAAAAGGUCCUUGCCAGUCACCAACCAGGCUGGCACCCAGAUCUCAGACUUCCAGCCUUCAGAAGUGUGAGAGAUAAAUUUCUACUGUUUGUAAGCCACCCAGUCUACGAUAAUUUGUUACAGCCACCUGAAUGGACCACAACAACCCAGGUAUGCACCCCCUGGCCCCGCCUCUACCCAGAUGGAAAGGGAAGAUCAGAAGGCAGGAGUUCCCGCCCCUCCUCCUGGCCUUGCCUGGUCCUGUCUCACAGGGUCUCACAGUGGCCCUUACCCACUCCCUGGCCUGCCUCUCUCUCUGAGAGGGUGGGUCCUUCUCCCCACACAGGCUGUCCAUGAGGCAACCUGUGAGGGGCAGGUUGGGGAGGGAGGGGAGCUCGGCUGCUCCCACCAGGCCCCUCCUCCUGCCCCCAUGGGCACUGACCACCCAGGGACCACCGGCCUGUGUCCCGCCCGGCUCUGGGUCACUGCAUAGGCCCAAAUCACACCUGUGGUUCUCCUCGGAGGUGUAACCUUGCUCAGAUCACUUGAUUACCUGAAUUUUGUUUUCCUUAACUCAAAGAUGGGCAUAUACAUAGCCCUCCUAUUUCUUUUUUGCUUUUUUGAGAGCCCCAUCGCCUUUCACCCUCUCAUCUGUGAGCAACUCCAUUGCUGCUCUAGGAAAGGCAGAGUCUGGCACCUGGCAAGGCCUCCUCACAGGCCUGACUCCCGUCCCUUCCCACCUCCCUAGGCAGAACCGGGUGGAACUGCAUGAGAAGCGACGGAGGCGCCAGCCCCAGCCAGCUCCCUGUGGCUCCUGGCACCAAUCAGGCCUCGAGGCUUCCUCAACACCAGCUUUCCUUCCCCUCCCAUUGGGCCCUGCAUCCCUGCCUUCUGCAACAUUGUGCUCCUGACCCUGGCUGGCUCCCAGCCCUCCACAGCUGGGCCCCACCUCAGAGCCUUUGCAUCAGGUAGCCCCAGAGUCAGAGAGAAGGCCCCCGACAAAGCCGCAGAUGGAGCUCAGCCCCAGGAAACACCUUUCCAGAGCAAGGCUCCAGCUCACUGUAGGACCACAGUCAAGUCUGUAUCCAGGCCGAGCGACAGCCGAUGCAGCCUCAGUGUUCCUUUGCCUUGGGGGUUUCUGAGUGGUGGGGUUGUAAGCAGAUCCUGCCAGGCACCCAGAAGGAAACCUCAUCAGGACUCCCUCAGAAAGGCCCUGAAGAAUCCUGUGACCUUCAUCUAAAGUAGGUCAUGAGACCCCUGAGCUUAAAACGGAGUGAUCGGCUUUGGAGAAGUAAGGAGACAUGACGUGCCUGCCCUGGGGUGGGGACUAAACUUCGUGCCACUCCACGUGAAAGGGGGAGAAAUCCCUGGAAGGCACGCAGGCUGGACAUCAUCAUAUAUUCUCUACAGAUGGAGACACCAAGGCCCACGCCUUCUGUGCUGUUGGAAUUUCAGGAAGGAUGGGGGUGGGGCACGGCCUCAGCCCUGGGCAUGUUCUGCAGAUUGCACUGCUCUUAUCUGCCAGGGGGUGGUGAGAGGGUGGCUGAGCUGGACAGAUGGCGGGCAGGGACGGGCUCUGCGGUCUGGCAGCUGACAUUGAUACAAGCAAAAAAAGAGUCUUUGC
Molecule: long non-coding RNA, 5635 nt
Filed under: Homo sapiens (human)
Lineage: Eukaryota; Metazoa; Chordata; Mammalia; Primates; Hominidae
Description: HSALNT0388780
Source: RNAcentral